RNAcentral lists this ribosomal RNA (279 nucleotides) under uncultured bacterium. RNAcentral's name for it is "partial 16S ribosomal RNA". It matches the Rfam family "Bacterial small subunit ribosomal RNA", at positions 506 to 784 of the family's 1533-position model. The record is from RNAcentral.
UGCCAGCAGCCGCGGUAAUACGGAGGGUCCAAGCGAUAUCCGGAUUCAUUGGGUUUAAAGGGUACGUAGGCGGAAUUUUAAGUCAGUAGUGAAAGCCCAUCGCUUAACGAUGGAACUGCUAUUGAUACUGGAAUUCUUGAAUAUAGUUGAAGUAGGCGGAAUACGACAUGUAGCGGUGAAAUGCAUAGAUAUGUCGUGGAACACCGAUCGCGAAGGCAGCUUACUAAGCUACUAUUGACGCUGAGGUACGAAAGCGUGGGGAGCGAACAGGAUUAGAUA